This 253-nucleotide ribosomal RNA is filed under the name uncultured bacterium. RNAcentral describes it as "partial 16S ribosomal RNA". It matches the Rfam family "Bacterial small subunit ribosomal RNA", at positions 524 to 776 of the family's 1533-position model. The record is from RNAcentral.
UACGGAGGGGGCUAGCGUUGUUCGGAAUUACUGGGCGUAAAGCGCACGUAGGCGGGUCUUUAAGUCAGGGGUGAAAUCCUGGAGCUCAACUCCAGAACUGCCUUUGAUACUGAGGAUCUCGAGUCCGGGAGAGGUGAGUGGAACUCCGAGUGUAGAGGUGAAAUUCGUAGAUAUUCGGAAGAACACCAGUGGCGAAGGCGGCUCACUGGCCCGGUACUGACGCUGAGGUGCGAAAGCGUGGGGAGCAAACAGG